This 430-nucleotide ribosomal RNA is filed under the name uncultured bacterium. Its description in RNAcentral is "bacterial SSU rRNA". It matches the Rfam family "Bacterial small subunit ribosomal RNA", at positions 60 to 537 of the family's 1533-position model. The record is from RNAcentral.
AGUCGACGAGACCUUCGGGUCUAGUGGCGCACGGGUGCGUAACGCGUGGGAAUCUGCCCUCUGGUACGGAAUAACUCAGGGAAACUUGAGCUAAUACCGUAUAAUGACUUCGGUCCAAAGAUUUAUCGCCUGAGGAUGAGCCCGCGUAGGAUUAGCUUGUUGGUGAGGUAAAAGCUCACCAAGGCGACGAUCCUUAGCUGGUCUGAGAGGAUGAUCAGCCACACUGGGACUGAGACACGGCCCAGACUCCUACGGGAGGCAGCAGUGGGGAAUAUUGGACAAUGGGCGAAAGCCUGAUCCAGCAAUGCCGCGUGAGUGAUGAAGGCCUUAGGGUUGUAAAGCUCUUUUACCCGGGAUGAUAAUGACAGUACCGGGAGAAUAAGCCCCGGCUAACUCCGUGCCAGCAGCCUCGGUAAUACGGAGGGGGCUA